GUGACGGUACCGUGGAGAAGAAGCACCGGCUAACUACGUGCCAGCAGCCGCGGUAAUACGUAGGGUCCGAGCGUUGUCCGGAAUUAUUGGGCGUAAAGGGCUCGUAGGUGGUUGAUCGCGUCGGAAGUGUAAUCUUGGGGCUUAACCCUGAGCGUGCUUUCGAUACGGGUUGACUUGAGGAAGGUAGGGGAGAAUGGAAUUCCUGGUGGAGCGGUGGAAUGCGCAGAUAUCAGGAGGAACACCGGUGGCGAAGGCGGUUCUCUGGGAAUGUCCUGACGCUGAGGAGCGAAAGUGUGGGGAGCGAACAGGAUUAGAUACCCUGGUAGUCCACGCUGUAAACGGUGGGUACUAGGUGUGGGGUCCAUUCCACGGGUUCCGUGCCGUAGCUAACGCUUUAAGUACCCCGCCUGGGGAGUACGGCCGCAAGGCUAAAACUCAAAGGAAUUGACGGGGGCCC
Molecule: ribosomal RNA, 457 nt
Filed under: Pseudo-nitzschia fraudulenta
Lineage: Eukaryota; Bacillariophyta; Bacillariophyceae; Bacillariales; Bacillariaceae
Description: partial Bacterial small subunit ribosomal RNA
Rfam family: Bacterial small subunit ribosomal RNA
Source: RNAcentral